RNAcentral lists this ribosomal RNA (468 nucleotides) under uncultured bacterium. Its description in RNAcentral is "partial 16S ribosomal RNA". It matches the Rfam family "Bacterial small subunit ribosomal RNA", at positions 28 to 507 of the family's 1533-position model. The record is from RNAcentral.
GACGAACGCUGGCGGCGUGCUUAACACAUGCAAGUCGAACGGAAAGGCCCUGCUUUUGUGGGGUGCUCGAGUGGCGAACGGGUGAGUAACACGUGAGUAACCUGCCCUUGACUUUGGGAUAACUUCAGGAAACUGGGGCUAAUACCGGAUAGGAGCUCCUGCUGCAUGGUGGGGGUUGGAACGUUUCGGCGGUUGGGGAUGGACUCGCGGCUUAUCAGCUUGUUGGUGGGGUAGUGGCUUACCAAGGCUUUGACGGGUAGCCGGCCUGAGAGGGUGACCGGCGACAUGGGGACUGAGAGACGGACCAGACUGCUACGGGAGGCAGCAGUGGGGAAUAUUGCACAAUGGGCGGAAGCCUGAGGAAGAAACGCCGCGUGCGGGAUGACGGCCUUCGGGUUGUAAACCGCUGUCGCCUGUGACGAAGCGGGAGUGACGGUAAUGGGUAAAGAAGCACCGGCUAACUACGUG